UGACUCUUGUUUCUUGUCAGAUUGUGUAAAUCUUUUGCUUUUUACAAAAGAUUUCAAUGGGGAGGAACAAGAAGAGUGUAACUCAAUUUUUUUAUUCUCUGCACAAGUGGAGCU
Small nuclear RNA from Phyllopteryx taeniolatus (common seadragon), 114 nucleotides. RefSeq annotates it as U5 spliceosomal RNA. The record is from RefSeq and is a predicted model, not a curated record. The transcript has a single exon. NCBI's taxonomy places the organism in Eukaryota, Metazoa, Chordata, Actinopteri, Syngnathiformes, Syngnathidae.